RNAcentral lists this ribosomal RNA (300 nucleotides) under Amallothrix gracilis. RNAcentral's name for it is "partial 16S rRNA". Lineage: Eukaryota; Metazoa; Arthropoda; Copepoda; Calanoida; Scolecitrichidae. The record is from RNAcentral.
AGUUAGUUUUUUAAUUGGAAAAUAGGAUGRAAGGUUUCACUAAAAAUAGAUUUUUUUUAUAAUCCGCACAAAAUUUUAUGUUUGGUGAAAAUACCAAAUAUCUUUAAAUAGACAAAAAGACCCUAUGAAGCUAGUGAAACUGAGAUGCAUAAAAUAUUAGACUACUUUAAUUUUUUGGGGUAAAACUUAAAAUUUUUAUUUUAAAUAUUUAUUUGGCUAAAUAUCCUUUCAGGAACUAAGAAAAAGCUCCUCUAGGGAUAACAGCAUAAUACCUAAAAAAGUUCUUAUUAAAACAGGUGU